CGGGGCCCCAUGGUUUGUUACGAAUGAGCAAAUUAGAGAGGAGUUGCAAGUUGAAUCUGUAAGUGAAGUGAUCGAGAGAGCGGCUGUGCGUCACCACAUGAGACUGGGCGCACACCCUAACCCGCUAGCCGCUAGCUCAGCAGGCAUUUAGCGACAACCCCAGUAGGAGGCUGCGUAGGGUUAGGGUGGUCCAGUUUUGCAUGAUUUUCGGUUUUUUUGGAAAAUGAACUGUCCCACCCCCUCGUUCUGAUCCAUUUGACUAAAUAACACUCCCUGUCAAAUUUUAGCGCAAUCGGACAGUAUUAACAGGUGCCGCCCGACGUCUCUUUUUCUGAAAAAUGGCUAAAUUUUUGGGAACUUUGAUGAUUUGUCGUCUAGAUUCAGGAUAGAGAAAUCCUGUGGAAAGUGUGAAAAGCUUUAGUAACACAGGGCAAAGAACUGGUUUUUUAAUGUACGAACUAAAAAUCACGGCCUGGUUGGGGGGGGGGGGGUGCGGGGGACGCGGGGGACGCACUCUCAGCAUACGCGCUGAUAAGAGACUCCAAUUACCAGGAUCAGCAAUAUGCGACAGUCGCGACACCCGACACGCUAACUUGGCGUUGCCGGACUUCAUAGCAUGUCACGAGGCUCCUUAAGAGAACAUUUAAGAUAUGCUAUUUUUCUGUCUUGUCUUGCAACACAACUUUGUUCGCAAAUUUGCUGAGCUUUGCAGAAAAUUCAAACUGCGUCUGAGCUAGGAUUGGAGUUGCCAGUGCCACCUUGCCAGUCCUAGAGAGCCGUCUAUGAGGCUUCUUAUUUCGUGAUAAUGCUAAACUUUUGAUGCACAAAAAAGUAAUACAAUCAUGUCAAAGCCCACCUUAAGGGCAGAACGUAACGUUUAUCUGAUAGGGAACUACUCACCCGUGAUAGAAGGUAGUAAGCUUCCGUCGAAGAGACAAGUAUUGCGCGUUUUAUUUUUUAAUUUACGCGAGGUUAAAUUAUCUCUACGUGAAAGUGCGAAGCUUGCCAUAGAAGAAGUAAAAGUAUUUUGGAACAAAGCUCGAAUUCCGAUGCAACGUGACGAUCACAGUGUGACAAAAUUAGAGAAUCUUUACAACAAAUUGAGAAAUCUGCAAAAAAGUUCAAGCAAAACUAGUGACUGUUUUGUGAAACAAAGAAGUGAUUUUAUUGGUGAUCUCGACGACCUUUUCGAUAUCGCGCACGCUGAUGCUCUUAGUUUGAUACAAAUAGAUGAAGAUAGACAAUUUUUACUCAAUCAAAGGGCCAAAGGACGAAUCGGUCACAUGUACGGUAUAGACAUGGAGUUAGAGAGGAGGGAGCAGAGAAGAGCCGAGAAACAGCAGAAGGAACAUGAGCGAUCAGAAAGAAAUGCAGCAGAUCUAAAAAAACUCAAUGAAACCUGUAGCAUUGAUGACGCAUUUGACAGCAAUUUUGCUGAGCUUUUUUCCGAUGGUGACGUUGAGCAUCUUUCUGUUGAUGAUGAAUAUGAUGACAUCGACAAUCCAGGACCUUCGAAGCCCCCGCACCAGCCACACGAGGAAGUAAAAGACUACAAGGAACCAUUCGCGUGAUCACUCCAAAAUUAUCUGCUGCGUUAGAUAAGUGCAAAAUUAGCGAUAGAGAUGCCGUGCACCUAGUAACAUCGGUUGUUCAAUCCUUUGGAUUGGAUUCAAACACUUAUAUUUUAAGUCGUUCCGCGAUUCGCCGAUCCAGGCAAAAAUUACGUCUUGAAAGAGCAGCAAAACUUAAGGAAUACUUUAAGGGGUCUGAUUUAAAAGCCACAGUCAUUCACUGGGAUGGCAAACUUUUUGCAGAUAGCAAGGGAUCAGGUAAAUAUGAUAGGCUCGCAAUAGUUGUGACUAGUGGAGAUGUAG
This 1874-nucleotide long non-coding RNA is filed under the name Bemisia tabaci. RNAcentral describes it as "lncRNA ENSASIAIIG003237". The record is from RNAcentral. Lineage: Eukaryota; Metazoa; Arthropoda; Insecta; Hemiptera; Aleyrodidae.